GCUUGGCACAGAGGGAAAAAAACAACGCGCCUCUAUUGUUGAGGGUGCCUUGUACCUGGGCCGCGAAGUGCGGCGGAGCUGAGACCCCGCGGGAGGGACGGGGCAGCGCCGGCCCCGGCCUGGCCUCAGGGGGUUUGGGCAGGAAGAUCCAGCCUGGGGCCGGGGCAGCUCGGCCUCCGUUCCCCCGGGAUGCGGGAGGGGACGAGGCAGCUCCGGGGUCCGGCCGUGCGGGGAGAAGGAGGAGGAGGAGGAAAGCGGCGAGGCAGGGUAAUGCGUGGAGAAGCAGCCUCGCUCAUGCAAGAUGUUGAUGGAAUUUACUAUAUUAUUAAAGGAAAAAAAAUCCCCUUUCAGGAAUAAAGUGUAUCAACUUACAACACAACAGACGGCAGAGGGAUAAGUGAAACAGACAAAAGACAAACAAGAUAAUAAUCUGUUUCCAA
Motacilla alba alba is the source of this 440-nucleotide long non-coding RNA. RefSeq lists it as uncharacterized. The transcript is spliced from 3 exons. The record is from RefSeq and is a predicted model, not a curated record. NCBI's taxonomy places the organism in Eukaryota, Metazoa, Chordata, Aves, Passeriformes, Motacillidae.